RNAcentral lists this ribosomal RNA (254 nucleotides) under uncultured bacterium. RNAcentral's name for it is "partial 16S ribosomal RNA". It matches the Rfam family "Bacterial small subunit ribosomal RNA", at positions 524 to 776 of the family's 1533-position model. The record is from RNAcentral.
UACAGAGGGUGCAAGCGUUGUUCGGAAUUAUUGGGCGUAAAGGGCGCGUAGGCGGCCAUCUAAGUCAGACGUGAAAUCCCCCGGCUUAACCUGGGAACUGCGUCUGAUACUGGACGGCUCGAGUAUGGGAGAGGGAUGUAGAAUUCCAGGUGUAGCGGUGAAAUGCGUAGAUAUCUGGAGGAAUACCGGUGGCGAAGGCGGCAUCCUGGACCAUUUACUGACGCUGAGGCGCGAAAGCUAGGGGAGCAAACGGG